AAUGCUAACGUCACCCUCUGUAGUACCAGAACCAAGCCUCAUCUAUUAAUAUUUCCCUUUCUCUUCUGGAGUGGUAUGGCAGGAAAGGAGGAGGAUAGGAAUGGAAUCAGGGUUUGGCAUGCCCUAGACACUGUUGCAGAGAGGUUCUUUGCUAUUGGAAAUACUUUCUCAAAUCUGUGCAAACAGAUUGUACAAUGCAGUUCUGUUCCUCAGAAUUCUAUCUAGGAGGAUCUAUACCCAAAAUUACAAUCAAUCCUUUGUUACUGUAUUUCCUUGAAUAAAAGACCAUCACAUUUAAGAAGCAUCACUAUAGCAUUAAGAAAGGCAAAUUCCACACAUAGUUUCAGAGAUAUUAAUAUUUGAAAAGAUACGUAUCUUAAAAAUAAAUGCAAUACAGUAAUUACAUCUUUGGUCUUUAUUCAUUCCUUCUGUGUUUUGUUGUUGUUGUUGUUUGUUUUGGUUUUUUUUUGUUUUUUUGAGACGGAGUUUUGCUCUUGUUGCCCAGGCUGGAGUACAAUGGUGUGAUCUCG
Molecule: long non-coding RNA, 530 nt
Filed under: Homo sapiens (human)
Lineage: Eukaryota; Metazoa; Chordata; Mammalia; Primates; Hominidae
Description: HSALNT0088467
Source: RNAcentral